CGGUGAGGUCUAAGGAUAAGUGGAUCUUUGUCCCUUCCAGGACAGGGUGUGUGGAAGAGAAAAGGCUAUGUUGCCCUGUUGGGUCCUUCUCCCUCACCUGCCUGCCCCUCAGGUUCAAGUCCACCCACCAAGGAAAGGCGGAGGAGACAUCCCGGGACAUAAGGAGCCUCAAAGCUGCGCUCAUAAAGCGGAAAGCAAUGGAAAGGCAUGGAACGUGGGACGGAAUGCCCCUCAAAGCAGUCAAGCAGGCGUUAAAGAGAGUCUCUUCCCGAAGCGGUUCUGGAGAGCAAGUUUCCUUAAGGACAAAGUUGACCACGAAACUGCUGACUGCCCUGGGCUGCAGGGCACUCAAUCGGGGAUGUUGAGAAGCUGGCGGUCUCUGCUCCUCUGGAGAAGAAUCAAAGACCAUCCCCGGGAACAUCGCAGCCUACUUAAAAAUAGCGACGAUACUUAAAAAAAAAAGAAGAAGAAGAAGAAGAAGAAGAAGAAGAGAGAGAGAGAGAGAAAAAGAGAGACGUCACCUGAUUAGGCCAGGCCCACCCAGGAACUCUCCUUUUUUAGUAUCGAGUUAACGGAAUUAGUGACCUUAAUAGUAUUUACAAAAAUCUCUUCACCUUUAUUAUACAACAUAACCUAAUGGGCUGAGUGAACGGAAUGUUUAUAUCCCUCUCCCCAUCCAUAUGUUGAAACCCUAAUCCCAGUGUGUUGGUAUUUGGAGGUGGAGGCUUUGAGGGAUGAUGAGGUCAUGAGAGUGGAGGCCUCACGAAUGGGAUUAAUCCCCUUAUAAGAAAAGGCCAGAGAAUUAGCAGUCGUUCCACCAUGAGAAGGCACAACGGGGAAAGAGCUCUCUGCAAACCGGGAAGAGCCCCUUGCCAGACACCAGAUCUGCCAGCACCUUGAUCUUGGAUUCUCCAGCCUCCAGAACUAUGAGAAACAGAUGUUUGUUGUUCAAGCUGCCCAGUCUAUGGUAAUUUGUUAUAGCAGCCUGGGAGGUGUAAGAUAACAUCCUAUCAUUUAUAGGUCCUACUCACAUUUAAGAUGAGGGGACGAUAUGGAGUGUCUACAGCAGGUGCCUGGAAUCUUGGGAACCAUCUUAGAAUUCUUUCUGCCCCAACUUAGUACCAUGGUUCUCAACCCCGGGCAGUUCUUCUCCCUAGGGGAAAUUUGACAAUGGUUGCCCUAACUGGGGGUGUGUGCCCUUGGCAUCUAGGGGGACACAGCUAACUAUCUCACAGUGCACAGGACAUCUUCCCGAAGGCAGAGCUAUGUGGCUUCAACUGUCAGUAGUGUUGAGAAAUGCUGAAAUAGAAGAAGGAGGAAUUUUGGAAGGAGAUCCGUGAGGGAAUUAAACUAUGAUCAGCUGUGUGGCUUCUAUUCCUUAUCUGGCUCUAGAAUCUACCUGUCAUUACAGAGGAGAUGAUCAGAAGCUUAAGAAGCCUUUCUUCAGAGCAUUUUCAGUCUCUGCAGAGCUGGGUUUGGCCCCAGAACUGGAGAAACGUGAUUCUCUGCAGCAGCGCUCUGCACCCCCCGCCCCCUGAACCCAGCAGGAUUGCAAGCCAUUGGGGCUGCUGGAGAGGAGAGUCUUGGCCUGGACAUUUGUAGUGGCUGCAGUGAAGUCUUUCCACAUGGGUUUGUUGGCAGUGGGUAUGGACAAGUAUGAUCUGAAGAAGAAAAGGAGGAAAAGGCACAUUCAGCUGGGUUACUGUGGCUGAUGUGCUGGUUCAUGGGUUCAGGGGGCACUACAAGAAAUUCAUAACAAGAGGUCACUUCAAGUGGGGUUAAUUUCCCAUGAUCGGGCUGGAGGGAUCGUGUGUACAUACCAUGAUUCAGUCACUGAAAGGACAUGUGCUAGUCAUUGGGGAAAAGCAGAUCAAAACCAAUGGGACACUGAUUCACACUCACUAGGAUGGCUAUAACUCGGCAAGAUACCUUGGCAAGUGUUGGCAAGACCUUGAGGACUUGGAGCUCUCGCACACAGUUGGUGGACAUGUGAAUGUUGCAGCUGCUUUGGAGGCCAGUCUGGCCAUUCCUUGGAAGGUGAAGCAUGGAGUCAUUAUGACCCAUCAAUUGCACUCCUCUAAGUAUGUGCCCCAGAGAACAGAAACAGGUCCACACAAACACAUGUCCAUGAAUGUCCACAGCAGCAUUAUUCAUAAUAGCCAAAAGGUGGAAAAAUCCCAGAUGUUCAUAAACUGGUGAAUGGAUAAAGAAAACAUGGUCUAUGCAUGGGAUGGAGUGUUAUUCAGCCAUAAAAAGGAAGGAAGCCCUAACACCUGCCACAAUGUGGAGAAGCCUUGAAAGCAUGAGAGAAGCCAGACACAGAAGGCCACAUGUGGGAUGGUCCCAUUUUUAAGAAAAGUCCCUAAUGGACCCGCAGAGACAGAGAGCAGAAUAGUGGUUGCCGAGGGUUGGAAGGAGGGAAUGGAUAGUGACUGCUUCUUUUUUGGGGUGAUGCAGAAUGUUCUGGAACUAGAAAGUGAGGAUGAUUGCACAAUUCUGUGAAUCUGAUAAAAACCACAGGACUGUAAACUUUGAAAAGGGUACGUUUACAAUAUGUGAAUUAUAGCUUAACAAAAAAAUAAUUUUCAGGGUGGCUCAGUGGGUUAAGCCUCUGCCUUCACUUGGGUCAUGAUCUCAGGGUCCUGGGAUUGAGCCCCACGUCAGGCCCUCUGCUCAGCAAGGAGCCUGCUUCCCCCUCUCUCUCUAUGCCUGUCUCUCUAUCUAUGAUCUCU
This is a long non-coding RNA of Mustela putorius furo (domestic ferret), 2732 nucleotides long. NCBI's taxonomy places the organism in Eukaryota, Metazoa, Chordata, Mammalia, Carnivora, Mustelidae. The record is from Ensembl.